Transfer RNA from Exidia glandulosa HHB12029, 84 nucleotides. It matches the Rfam family "tRNA". From Rfam's summary of the family: Transfer RNA (tRNA) molecules are approximately 80 nucleotides in length. NCBI's taxonomy places the organism in Eukaryota, Fungi, Basidiomycota, Agaricomycetes, Auriculariales, Exidiaceae. The record is from Rfam.
GGCUGUAUAGUGUAGCGGUUAUCACAGUGGAUUCUGACUUAAUUGGCAUUUCCAUUAACCCCUGUUCGAAUCAGGGUACGGUCA